This 477-nucleotide ribosomal RNA is filed under the name uncultured bacterium. RNAcentral describes it as "SSU rRNA". It matches the Rfam family "Bacterial small subunit ribosomal RNA", at positions 26 to 518 of the family's 1533-position model. The record is from RNAcentral.
AGGACGAACGCUGGCGGCGUGCUUAACACAUGCAAGUCGAGCGAGGCCCUUCCUUCGGGAAGGUGCCCUAGCGGCGAACGGGUGAGUAACACGUGGGCAACCUGCCCCUAGCACUGGGAUAACUCCGGGAAACCGGGGCUAAUACCGGAUAUGACCUUUGAGGGCAUCCUCGAAGGUGUAAAGGAUUCUGGCUAGGGAUGGGCCCGCGGCCUAUCAGCUUGUUGGUGGGGUAACGGCCUACCAAGGCGACGACGGGUAGCCGGCCUGAGAGGGCGACCGGCCACACUGGGACUGAGACACGGCCCAGACUCCUACGGGAGGCAGCAGUGGGGAAUAUUGCACAAUGGGCGAAAGCCUGAUGCAGCGACGCCGCGUGAGGGAUGACGGCCUUCGGGUUGUAAACCUCUUUCAGCAGGGACGAAGCGAAAGUGACGGUACCUGCAGAAGAGCACCGGCCAACUACGUGCCAGCAGCCGC